UUGAUGACAGGACAUAUUUCGUCUUGUCCUCGUUCACUACCAGACCCACUCGCUUCGCUUCUUUAUUAAGCAAGGAGAACGCAGAACUAACUGGGUAUUGGAUCCUUGGGUCACGGCUUAUGAGAGAAGAAGUCUCAGUGAAGCCAAUUCCAACUUAUUCGGUUUAAGGGUCUUCUGAAGUCUAAUUGCAGCGUCUGUUCACCAGAGGUGCGACUGCGAGCAGGCGUCGGUCUUGAAGCAAGGGGCUUAGUAUAUGAAUGUGUAAACAACUUUAAACUUACUCGCCAGGCAAGGUUGUGCGCUGGUUUUGGGACCCGCCACGUAGAAACCAGCUCCAAUGAAAAAUUACACAACUCCACCCUUCUGAAUAGCAUCAUAAGUAACACUGACCACACAUGAUGGCUGUCAGGUCGCACGCUUUUUUAUAUACAUAUAUAUUUUAUGUAAUUUCGUGUGAGAAACACGCCGACAGGAUUCCAGAGAUUUUUCAAAUAAUGAAUUGUAUUUAUACUCUAUGAAAUUUAUGUUGCGAUUUCCGGACAAUUACCCAGUAAUUUGAUAAAGUCAUUUAUUCACAAGUUGAUUGAUAUUAGCUUUGUGACCAUAGGCGGUUGUGCAAUUCAGUAACGAGAAUAUGGGUGAGUUCCACAAUGUCAGUUGCAAAGCAACCAUACAAUGACAAGCAAUCCUAAAUGCCACUGAGCAAACUUUAACGAUGUAUCAUGUUCAAAAAUACAUCGAUAAAGUCAUUGAUGCGCAAACAAAAGCAAACAUUAUAAAACUUAUUUUUUUGAUAUGUUUUAUGUUUUAGCCAUUUCACCGAAAAGCAACUUAUUUGCACGAAAAGCGUUACAAAAUGUCAGACUUGGCAAAGUAUUAUUGCAAGGAAAAUUUAUAGAAUGUAGGGUUGCAUUGUAUUUAUUUAUUUAUAAUGCGGUUGUCAAACCGUAUUUUGACGUUUUGGAAGUCGUCCUAUCGAAUGCGAUAAAAUUUCUUGAACAGCUUUUAGAACCAUAAUUUUUCAUUAAAAUAAAUAAAAGCUGCUAAUAAUACUAAGCAGGUCAAUGACCUAAUUUUUGAAUGUGUUAAGUUUACUAUUUAUUUAUAGCUGUUUGAAACUACAGACAUUCGUAAGUAUUUUGAUGUUUAUUUACAUUUUAAUUAUUUUCAACAUAUUCAACAGGCGCAAAGAACCACCUAGGAUGAUAUUAGAAGGAAGGAGACAAUCGAGAAAACAAAUGAGUAAGAGGCCAAGUAUCACCCAGAAUCCCUAAAGGGCAUCCCAAAUUUGACGGAUGCUGUGAAUAGUCAGGGGUGUUACAGAAACUCAUUGUUGUCAGCAUCAGAAUUGAAACCACCAAAAUUCUUCUAACAUCGAAAAAUUCUAUCACCGCCAAAGUCAAUCACAAAAAUUGAAUAAAAUUUCUGUUUUUUUUGCACAAGUGAGAUGACAGCUGAUUCGAAUAUCGGUUUUGAUAAUUUUCGCGAAAAGCAAAUUCAAGUCGGUUUCAUAAUACUAUUUCAAACAGAUAAUAAGUAUCAUUGCAUGCGAUAAAUUAACAAUUCUGUGUUGGUUUCUAUAACACCCCUAAAUAUGGCGAAUACCAUCAUGUUAGCAUAAGCACUGUCCUCACUUACUCACUUUACUGGCCUAGACACCGCUUAAGCGAUUAAUUCCGAAUAUAAAUAAACCUGCUUUAUGAUUAUGAGAAUAGGCGAGUUCCAAAACCUCAAAAUACUUCGUAAUGAUGCGGUUGCCCGCCUCCAAAAAUUAAAAUGCGUACUUCAAAAAUCAAUUUUCAUGGGAAAAUGAGUUUUACGUUUUUCCAUUCCACAAUUUAUUUUAUAGUCGGUUACCUUUCAAAAAUCCUCGAAUUAUAGUUUCCAUUCAUACGAAAAUUUCGGUAAAUUUAUUAAAUGCCUAUUUUUUUUUUAUAAAAACUCACACACAACUUCUAUGUGAAGAAACUUUAGCGGUGUAUUAAAAUAAUCCGCAUUUUUGUUGCACUACACAUCACAAAAUAUUCGUCGUUUCCGCAACUUAUAGGUUUUGAGUAAUUUGUUGCUAAAGUUAAAAUUUUGACCAACCAAUAUUCCUGAACAAAAGCUAGAUGUGAAGGUCGAUGAUAC
This is a long non-coding RNA of Ceratitis capitata (Mediterranean fruit fly), 2130 nucleotides long. RefSeq lists it as uncharacterized. The transcript has 2 exons. The record is from RefSeq and is a predicted model, not a curated record. NCBI's taxonomy places the organism in Eukaryota, Metazoa, Arthropoda, Insecta, Diptera, Tephritidae.